Pygocentrus nattereri (red-bellied piranha) is the source of this 2548-nucleotide long non-coding RNA. RefSeq lists it as uncharacterized. Lineage: Eukaryota; Metazoa; Chordata; Actinopteri; Characiformes; Serrasalmidae. The record is from RefSeq and is a predicted model, not a curated record. The transcript is spliced from 6 exons.
UGUGAAGAAUUCAGGUUUCUGUGGUCUUUUGUCGUGUCUGACCUUCAUUCUCUCCGUGUUGGCUAUUUGAACCGGGACCAUCUUGACCAUGACCCUGGAUUUGCCCACAAUGAAAGUCGCUUAUCUCAGCACAUGCAUCCGCCUCCUCGCUCCCUGGCGUUACACAGGUGAUACUGGUUCAUUGAGGAAGCAUGGAUGUCAGCUGAAGAGCUGUAGUGAAUGGACAUCUUCUUUGAAUAUCAAAUGGAAGAAGCUUCAAGAAACACAGCAAGUCUUUUAGAAGUGUUGACAACGUGGUACUCAACUUUUUCAAAGCUGUGGCCCUUCUCUGUUCUCAAACAGCCAUCAUUCCAAAGCCUUAUCUAAGAUCUACAGCCAGCUGCACUGACGUAUCUUGAACUCCUGUAUGGUGCAAGACUAAUAAAGCCAAGGCAGUGAUGAAGGAGCAGGUGAAAGAAGAGUUUUAUUGGAGUUACAGCAUGGUGGCUGGAUCUUGGCUGAAGAGGUAACCAAGGAAGAAGGAAUUCAAGAUGAUGGGCCUGAUAUGAGAAGAUGGAAGUGAAGUUCCUCAAUGUCAACGAUCAUAUGGCUGAAGUAGAUGGCCUUCAGUAUCUACUGCUGAAGCAUCAUUGGUGCACUUGCUCAUGCAUCAUGCAAAGAGAGGCCUGCAAGAAGCUGUCAGUUUCUCUGGAAUAAGACUGAAAGGUCCCCUACUGCUGCAGAGGUGGCUGAAGAGCACUGCAAACUUCAGCUGGUACAGCCUAACCCAACAUGACUGAACUCCUUUUAUGUGACUGUGGAGAGUAUCAUGAGACUUCAAGUUCAAAGACAGGGGCCUGUGAGCUGCCUGUGCUGCACUCGGCGUUCCCAUGGAAAAUCCAAUCCAUUCAAAUGGGAUGGCUGCUCGAUACGAUCACCACCCUCAAAAUCAGGCUUGAGAAGAUUCUACAAGCUGCUUGAUGCUCUACAAGAGUGUUUGAAGAAAGUAUUGUCUGACCCAGAGCUUGUUUCUACAGCCAUCCUUAAUCCAUAAUUCAAAACGUCCAAGGCCAGCGAUGGAGACGUCCUCAAACUAGUACACGCAUCCAAACACCUGGAUGCAUACCUGAUGUGCCCAGCUGAAGGUAUGGACAUCUCAGCCAGCUGUGUCCACCCUCUCACGCAAGCUAAACACAGCCCUGUCUGCCUCUGCUGCCUGUGAGAGGCUUUUUAGUGCAGCUGGAUUGAUCCUCAGCCCUAGAAGACAAUACGUUAUUGCAGUGUUGCUGCUGGACAGGUGCAAUGCUAGAGGUGUGGAGCUGGGAUUUUUUAAGCUUCAACAUCGCCUCCAGUUUCUUGGGGAAAUAGAGAAAUGUGCUUAUUGGCACAAGGCUGAAUUUACACCUUUGGGCUCUAGGGCUAGCCAGGUAUACUUGACCAGCCAAAGCCUUCCCUUCCCAAAGACUCUGUUUUUGUUGAACAACUUUCCUAAUCCUCUUCCCUGUCAGUAAUCAGACAGUUUGGUUUAAGACAAGUGUGCUGGCUCACUGCACUCUGCUAAUGAAGUGGUGGGCCUGCCAUCUAAAUAUGGCUUGAAAAAAAUGGACUUUGUUCAUCUCUGGUAUCCAGAAUGGCACAAGAUCGUGUUGACUUCUAUGAGAUGCAAGUCUGUGUAAGGAACCACAUGCCUUUCAUCUUUCAGCAUUUUAUCAGGCUGCAAUAAGGGUGCAUAUAUCUGCUUGAGCAGUUCAAAUAACUAAUGAAGUGGCUUGGGAGAUUACAGCAAGUAUGACAGUGACCCUGCAGGUGAUCAGGAUAAUCUAUUUGUCAUUUCAAAAUGACAGGUCAUGUAGUUUUUAGCUCUGGGGGUCAGACUCGGUCUCAAAAAUGACAUGUCUAUGGUAGAAAAGCAGGGAGCUCAACUGGGGGAAGAAUGUCAUCAAUACCCUGCCUGCAACCAACUCCUGAGGGUCAAACCCACCCAGUUAGAUUGCUAUGCCCAUCAAACUAGAUAGUGGGUAUGUUUUAUAAAGACUGAAUUCAUAUAAAUCAACAUGAAAAUAAAACUGUGCUAUUCCAUGGCAAAAACUAAGAGGUGCAUUUUUUAAAAAAGGUGAAUGAUUUGAUUGUAGCCAAUAGCAAUGGGCAGAAACAGCAGUAUUUCAGAUUCAAGCAGUCCAUCGUGUGAUGAUCAGCAGGGACGGUCCAUUUUAAACUGUUUCGGAACCUGUGCCUAAAGAUUCAAAGAGCGUUUGUUUCUAAUGUAAUUAGAAUUCUCCUAAAUAAGACUGAAGUUAUGCUGGGUAUUUUUAAUUAAUCUGUAAACCCAUGUUUUACAAAGUUAUUGCUCUAUUUUUUUCAGCCACAUUUGACCUGUAUUCAACUGUAAAAGUUAUAAAGGCAAGACAUGCAAUGUUUUCAACUAUUUUAUUUAUUUAUUUUUGACUUGCUUAUUCCACAGUGGACUGCAUUUUAAUUACAUUGUCAUGGUUUUGGGAACUUGGGAUACGACUUGUUGUAGUUGUGACUUUUUCCUCAUUAUUACUUGAUAAAACACUUCAACCAAUUA